CAUUACAGAAAGUAAACGCGGAUCAAACCGCGAACUUCUAAACCUUUGACGAUUGACUCAUGUUGCCUCGGCGGGUGCUCCCGCCAGAGGAUACAUCAAAACUCCUGUUUUAACGGUGUUGUCUGAGCUACAAGCAACGAAUCAAAACUUUCAACAACGGAUCUCUUGGUUCUGGCAUCGAUGAAGAACGCAGCGAAAUGCGAUAAGUAGUGUGAAUUGCAGAAUUCAGUGAAUCAUCGAAUCUUUGAACGCACAUUGCGCCCCUUGGUAUCCCGAGGGGCAUGCCUGUUCGAGCGUCAUUUCACCACUCAAGCCUGGCUUGGUGUUGGGCGACGUCCCCUUUGGGGACGCGCCUCGAAACGCUCGGCGGCGUGGCACCGGCUUUAAGCGUAGCAGAAUCUUUCGCUUUGAAAGUCGGGGCCCCGUCUGCCGGAAGACCUACUCGCAAGGUUGACCUCGGAUCAGGCAGGGAUACCC
This 477-nucleotide ribosomal RNA is filed under the name uncultured Ascomycota. Its description in RNAcentral is "eukaryotic LSU rRNA". The stretch from base 146 to 299 matches the Rfam family "5.8S ribosomal RNA". The record is from RNAcentral. Lineage: Eukaryota; Fungi; Ascomycota.